CCUACGGGAGGCAGCAGUGAGGAAUAUUGGUCAAUGGGCGCUAGCCUGAACCAGCCAAGUAGCGUGAAGGAUGACUGCCCUAUGGGUUGUAAACUUCUUUUAUAUGGGAAUAAAGUGCAGUAUGUAUACUGCUUUGCAUGUACCUUAUGAAUAAGGCUCGGCUAACUCCGUGCCAGCAGCCGCUGUAAUACGGAGGAUCCGCGCGUUAUCCGGAUUUAUUGGGUUUAAAGGGAGCGUAGGCGGGUUGUUAAGUCAGUUGUGAAAGUUUGCGGCUCAACCGUGAAAUUGCAGUUGAUACUGGCAUCCUUGAGUACAGUAGAGGUAGGCGGAAUUCGUGGUGUAGCGGUGAAAUGCUUAGAUAUCACGUAGAACUCCGAUUGCGAAGGCAGCCUGCUGGACUGUAACUGACGCUGAUGCUCGAAAGUGUGGGUAGCAAACAGGAUUAGAUACCCGUGUAGUC
This 460-nucleotide ribosomal RNA is filed under the name uncultured bacterium. Its description in RNAcentral is "partial 16S ribosomal RNA". It matches the Rfam family "Bacterial small subunit ribosomal RNA", at positions 338 to 795 of the family's 1533-position model. The record is from RNAcentral.